This 519-nucleotide ribosomal RNA is filed under the name uncultured fungus. RNAcentral's name for it is "eukaryotic LSU rRNA". The stretch from base 173 to 326 matches the Rfam family "5.8S ribosomal RNA". Lineage: Eukaryota; Fungi. The record is from RNAcentral.
AUUACAGAGUUCAUGCCCUAACGGGUAGAUCUCCCACCCUAUGUUAUUAUUACUUUGUUGCUUUGGCGGGCCGUUAGGCUCACGCCCGGCCACCGGCUUCGGCUGGUGAGUGCCCGCCAGAGGACCCAAAACCCUUUUUAUUAGUGUCGUCUGAGUACUAUAUAAUAGUUAAAACUUUCAACAACGGAUCUCUUGGUUCUGGCAUCGAUGAAGAACGCAGCGAAAUGCGAUAAGUAAUGUGAAUUGCAGAAUUUAGUGAAUCAUCGAAUCUUUGAACGCACAUUGCGCCCCUUGGCAUUCCGAGGGGCAUGCCUGUUCGAGCGUCAUUACAACCCUCAAGCUAAGCUUGGUAUUGGGCUUUUCGCCACUAACCUGGCGGGCCUUAAAAUCAGUGGCGGUGCCGCCGUGGCCCUGAGCGUAGUAAAUAUCCUCGCUAUAGGGACCCGGUGGACGCUGGCCAGCAACCCCCAACUUUCUAAGUUUGACCUCGGAUCAGGUAGGGAUACCCGCUGAACUUAA